This is a long non-coding RNA of Pseudopipra pipra, 13386 nucleotides long. RefSeq lists it as uncharacterized. The record is from RefSeq and is a predicted model, not a curated record. Lineage: Eukaryota; Metazoa; Chordata; Aves; Passeriformes; Pipridae. The transcript is spliced from 2 exons.
AGUGACCUUCACAUGUUCUAAAUGAACCUCCAGUAUUCAUAAGAGCAAGCUCUCAAUAAUUAUCACCCUGUUAACCAUUCAGGUUCUUAUGCCUUCGGAAAUCUGAACUUUGGAAAUUAUAUAGAAAUUAUUUUCUCACAAUCAUUAAGUACUAUUUACUGAAUUUCCUGUUGAAAAAGUAGACAGUACCACCUUGAAUUACUCUCCAUUCCUGAAUAUUUAAUUAAUAUGGAACUUGAGUGUGAUUUAGAUGUCCUGGCAUUAUGUGUGUCAUUCUACUGUAAAUAAAUAGAUGCUUUAACUUCACCAGUGCACAAAGUUAAAUGUCAGAAAACUGUAUUUGCAUAUUUACACAGAAUAAUUACAUGCUGAUCAGAACAGUGUAAUUAGGGAUACUAACAUAAAAUGUUAACUAAGAGCCCAUGUAUUUGCAGAAAUAAAAAAGAAAUCAAUGGGAGCAAACAAUAAAAAAAGAUGCUGAAUGUUUACUGUCUGCUGUGUAAAGUAAAGCACUGCAAAAACUUAUAGAAUAACUGUAAUGCUCUUCAACCAGGUAUUUAAAUUAAUUCUUACCUGUUAAAAUUAUCAUAUAUUCUCUUUAUUUCUAUUUUUUUUUUUGAGAGCUCUUAACAACACAAUGGAGAGCUGGAGAUCUUGACUGACCUAAUGUAUUUAAAUUUCCCUUAUGGGGAACAGGAUUUGAAGUGCUUGGGAUUAUAAUCGAAAUGAAUUUGAUGGUUCAUCUCAGCCUCUAAUGGAUUACAGUAUGAAUGUCAUCAACUUUAUAUUACAGUAAAAAGUGUGAUCGCCUUCUGUAUUUAGAAAUGGCUGAAGUCCAUCUUUUGAUCCCAGAAAGAAUGCAGAGAGGGAAUGAAUAUCAGUCUUCAUUCAGAAGAGUCUAUUUGCUGAGCACCCACUUUCUGAAGAAACAUUGCAAAUAUCAAAUUAACCCCAAGAUGUGAAUCAUAGUUUUGCAAUGCUGGAAUGAAAUGUUGAUAUGCAAGAUGUUAGUAAAAAAUGUUUCUGUUGAUAGUUGUCCAUUUUUCUCUUUUUAUUUUCAGAUGCUUUUUGAAUCCUGCAUCUGUAACUGGAACUGUGUGAAGUAUGGGUGAAAUUGCAGUUGAAAAACUAAAAAUUUGAGACAAUAACACAUACCAGCUUUAAGAAGCAGAUUGGCUUCAGCAAUGUCUGUGUUUUCCCUUUGUAAUAUGCAUUCACUAUCUGUAUGACAUUUUCUGGCAGGACUUUUUGUGGAAAUAGAUAAUAUUAGGAUAAUAGAAUACGAUAGUCACGUGAAGUGAGUUCACUAACAUAAUUCACAUUUUCAGUCAGGCAAAAACAACUGUGUCAACAUAACUUCAAUUUGAUUUGAUUCCUGUUUUGAAUUUCAAGUACUUAACAAAUGGCUCACAAGUAACUAUUCUUAGAAAUUAUAUGUCAAAUCACUAUCUAAAGAUAUAUGUGGAAAAAUAGUCAUAGCUCGUAAUUAACUCAUAAACAGGAAAAAGAAGCAAAACUCAUCUAAUAGAACUAUUUGUUAGGAACUGUGACUUCAGCUUUAAUUUUUAUAAACUGGACUUUUCUGUUUUGCUGUGAUACCUAUAAAAUUUAAGUUUCUAUGUUUUGAAUGGUACCAGGCUGACCAAACCGUGAAUUUAGCCUAUAUAUCCAUCUGUGUGCUAGACAUUUUGUCCAGAAGGAUCCUGGGUGAGCCAGUAUUGAAAGCUUUAAUGAAAUCCAAAAAGUUUACAUCAACUGGCUUCUUUUGAUCAGCUACGUGGGUUAUCUUGUCAUAAAAAGCAGUCAGGUUUCAUAAGCAGGACUUCUGUCUCAUGAAGCUGUGCUGGCUGUGAUCAAUGACAGCAUUGUGUUUCAAGUGUUUUUCAAUACUUCCCUAAAUAAUCUUCUCCAUACCUUUACCAGGCACUGAAGUGAGACUGACAGGUCUGUACUUUCUGGGGUCCUCCUUCUUGCCCUUCUUAAAAAUUGGGUCAACCUUUUCCAGCUUCCAGUGAGCUGGGACCUCUCCAGAUUCCCAAGACCACUCAAAAAUCAUAGACAGAGGUGUUGCAAUGACAUCAGGCAACUCUUUGAGGAUUAUAGGAUGAAUCCCAUCAGGCCCCAUAGAUUUGUAGGGAUCCAGCUGGAGCAGUAGAUCCCACACAACGUCAGGUCAACUGGAAGCUGAUCUUUCUCACAGCCAUGGUCCUCCAGCUCAGGUCCAUCAUCCGUGUUGAAGACAGAGGCUAAGAAAGCAUUAAACACCUUGUAAGGUGACCAUCCUCAUCCUCUAAUGGGCCAAUGAUAUUUCUAUACUGCCUGUUGCCAUUAAUAUAUUUGAAAAAACUCUUGUUCCCCACAUUUCUGGGCAGCUUCAACUCCAGUUGAGCUUUGGGUGCACAAACUUUCUCCUUACAAUGGCAAGCAGCAUCUCUGUAUUCUUUCUAUGUCACUUGACCUUGCUUCCACAGGGCAUACACCUUCCCUUUUUUUGCCUUAUUUCUAAGAGAAGAUCCUUGCUUAGCCAAGCCAGCCUUCUGCCUUGUCUGCAGGAAAUUGCCUGCUGCUGUGCCCUUAGGAGGUGAUGUUUGAAAAGUGACCAGCACUGGUUGACCCCAGCACCUGCAAAAACAUUUUCCCAGAGGACCUUAAUUCCCUGAACAGACUGAAUUCUGCUCUCCUUAUGCCCAGGGUUGAGGGCUUUCUGGCUCUUGUCCUCCUUUCAACAAAGAGUUUAAACUCAAUCACUUCAUGGCUGCUCUAACCGAGAUGGUCACCAAUCUCCACUUUGCUCGUGAGAUCCACUCUGUUGGCAAGCAGCAGGUCAAGGAGAGCACUUUUCUUAGUUGGCUCCCUUGGGACCUGUUCCAUCAAGUUGUCAUCCAGGUCUUUUGGGAAUCUUCUGGCCUGAGUUGUAGCACCUGUGUGAUAUUCCCAGUUAAUUUCUAGCAAGUUGAAGUCCCCCAUAAGGACAAGGACAUUGACUUGGAAGUGUCUCUUAGUUCCUCAAAGAAUAGUUCUUUGGCGUCAUUGUCCUGGCUGGGAGGUCUAUAACAGACUCCUACCAUGACAACCACAUUAUUUGUUUUCCCCUUCAUUCUCACCCAGAGGCUCUCAACUGUGCCGUUGCCAAUGUGAGCUCCAUACAUUCUAACCCUUCCAUUACACUGCGACCCCUCCACCUCUUCUGCCCUGCCUAUCCCUCCUAAAGAAUCUGUAACUCUGCAACACAGGACUCAUCCCACCAGGUUUCACUUAUGCCAAUAUCACAUCUCUUGGACUGGGCCAAAGCUUCGAGCUUCUCUUGUUUGUUCCUCAUGCUGUAUGCAUGUGUAGAAAUAUUUCAGGUGUGGUGCAUUGUAGCUAAUACCUCGUGAAGCAGAUUAAAGGAUCCCAUGAGUGCUUGUUUUCUCAAGUUUUGGCACACCAUCUGUGUAUUUUUGUUUUAAACAUUUGUUUUGGUUUUAACCUGGGACUCAAGAGUGAAAAACUGUAGACGAAUAUUUCUGUGUCCUGCAGGUGAAGAAAAUGUUUGCAGUGACCCUCUCUCUGGGAAACUGCCAGAUGAUGUGUAGGUCAAGAUGAUAUGACUUAAGCUUCCUUAGGCAAAUCCACCAUGAAAGAUCAAAAUCACUUAUGGGGGUUAAACACAAAUGAAAUGUCACUUUGCUCACUUUCUAAUCCUCAAAAGUUUCAUAAGAUGCUAUAUAUUUUCUCUGAAGGCAUUUUCUUAUUGCACUACCACAGCAAAUAUCUGAUUUGAAUAUGUAAGAGUAGAAACUGCAGAAUUAGAGUGGAGGGUAUUCUUAGUAUCUGCUGAUGAACUAGGGACUAGUCAUGCCCAUGAUCAGCCUCAUUGGACAUUUAUAAACCCAGAUGAGGACAAAAAAAUCACAGAAUGGUUAAAGUUGGAAGGGAUGGCAGUGGGUCAUCUGGUCAAACCUCCCUGCUCGUCUUAGAGCACAUAGCAGAGGAGUGCAGCCAGACUGUUCUUGAAUAUCUCCAGUGAGGGAGACUUCAAAACCUCUCUGGGAAAUCUGUUCUAGUGUUUGCUCACUCAUAUUCAGAGGGAGGUUCCUGUGCAUUCGUUUAUGCCCGUUGCCUCUUUUCCCAUUUCUUGGCACCACCAAGAAGAGCCUGGUUCCAUCCUCUUGACACCCUCCCUUCGAAUACUUAGAGACAUUGAUGAGGACCCCUCUCAGUCAUCUCUUCUUGAGACGGAGCAGGCCCAACUCUGUCAGUAUAUCCUUGUAAGGAGAUGUUCCAGUCCCUUAAGUAUCUUUGCUGAUGGACCCACUCCAGGAGCUCCGUGUCUCUCUUGUACUAAGAAGCCCAGAACUGCACACAACACGCCAGAUGCAGCCUCACCAGGACUAAGUAGAGGGGCAGGAUCACCUCCCUCUACCUGCUGGCACAAUGUUUUUCCUAAUGAACCCCAGGAUAUCACUGACCUUCUUGGCCACGAGGGCACACUGCUGGCACAUGGACAGCUUGUUGUCCACCAGGACUCCCACAUCCUUCUUCACAAAGCUCCUUUUUAGCAGAUUAUACAGCAGCCUGUGCAUGGGGUGCAGGACCCUGCACUUUUUUUGUUGAAUUUCAGAUUCUUCUUUGCCCAUGUCUCCAACCUGUUGAGGUCCUUCUGAAGGGCUGCACAGCCCUCUGAGGUAUUGGCCAUUCCUUCCAGCUUUCUGUCAUCAGUGAACUUGCUGGAGAGGCAUCUAGCCCCUCAUCCCAGUCAUUGAUGGAUAAGUUAAACAAUACUGGGCCCAGUAUUGAACCUAGUUAUUUGUUAAAUAACUACAUAUAUAUUGAAAAGAAGAAGAAAUUAAUAAAAUGUUGUUAUCCCUGCUCUUAGAAAAAAAAACAGUGAACUCGUGCAGGACCUUGAAAAUUUGUUGAUGAUGAAAAUUGAAUGACUGCAUGGGUGACUCUGUAGCAGAAGAAAAGAGGAAAUGCUUCCCUACCUUGCAAGGGCACUGUUCAUACCUGGCAUUGAGGUAAAGGAUCUUAAAUUUUGCUUCUUAAAUGCAGAGCAAAUUGGACUCUGGGAAAUUAUUGGAAUAAGUUCUAUAGCUGACUUUGAACCUUGAACAUCUGAAGCUACCAUUUGUCAAGAGUUAAUACCUUCUAGGACUGGUGGUAGAAAUAGAGAUAUGCCUUCCACAUGGAGUAGCACAGAAGUGAUGGUCCAGGUUUCUAUAGACUGAGCAUAAAGUUUUUUCCAAAAACUAGAACUUCACAGUCGUAGACUAAUGACAAAUUGUGUUCCAGAAGAGAGAGCAGAGCUGUGCUGGGCCACCGGUACAUUUUUUCUUUAUACACCUGUCCUGGCAGAUAUAGCAAAUGACAUGAAAAACUACAGCCACAAAAAAAUGGCCAGGGAAAUAAUUGUUAUAUUACUUGAAUGCAUAACCUGCUCUCUUUUACUCCUAGGAAAGUUUUCUGUUCCUCACAUGAACUCAGUAUGUUCAGGAGAAGAAUAGACUGGAAAAGGCACGUGAAAGGAAGUAUUUAAUUUCCCCAGGUUUCUGAAUAAAUAUUUCUGGUUGGUAAAUUUGCCUCUGAUUAAAGACCUUGUAUUUGAAGUCAGUUCCAGGUGUCACCAGCUACAACACCAUGAGAUUUAUGGAUAGCCAGAUUCUGUUGGUCUUAAUGACAGAAUACUUUUCAAAAUGAACUUUCAUGGCUUUUGCUUCUGAUUUUAGGACAAGCAUAGGACCAAUUUCUAUUCAACAGCAGCCACAAAUAAGCCUGUUUUCGUAGGCUGCAUGUUAGUGUUCAGUGUUCCUCAGAACAUGCAAAAAUCCCCAGCAAGAAAAUUUGAGCUACAUUAAUUACUAAAUGAACCUAGAGCACAUCUUCAGUAAAAACAUAGAGACAAGUAAAACAUUGAUUUUAUGGGAUAGAAAGAGAUUAUCUGUAUAGGCCCUCUGAGGAUGGCAUUCUGUAGAAUACCUUAGGUUCGGAUGAUGGACUUGUGAUUGCCCAUAGACUUUUAUAGCCACUGCAGCCUUUCAGACAAGACACAAGAACACACUGACAUGAAUUCCAGGAACAUGUCUGAAUGACAUGAAACCCUUUCAGUGUUUUUGCAACCCCCAAGAACUAGAUUUAGAUUUCUCCUUCCUUGCUCCUUCAUAAUGCAGAUUUCCAAAACCAUAGACCAUUUUCCUGUUUUCUAACUUAUCCAGGUUUGUAUCUGCUCUCAUAACAUAUUAACACUCUUGUUCUGAAACAGUUUUCAUGAAAAUAUAUCUUGAGAAGCAGGCUAUUUUGAAAUUGAUGCUUUCUUUUCCUUCAUGUAUCUCAACUACCAUGGACCAUAUUAUACAUUUUUACUUUCAGCCUGUGCUUCUACAUGUCGUCUGCACAUCAUUCACAGACUUUUGGUGAAAGCAGCCAAAUCUUUCUGAUAUCUGUAAUUCAGAUCUUCCAUAGAUUAACAAACACACCUUUACAUACGUAUCAAUGCAAAAUUCAAGCAAAAGACAAUGGAAGAAGACAAUCUAACAAAUGCAGUGUUGUACAAUGAUAGUACCUAGGGCCCCAUUUGUCAUGCAUUUAAAUUAUACUUAUUUAUAACAGUGAUGACCAUAUGAGUUUCAUAUUGGGUCUGUCUGAGAUGGAGUUAAUGUUCCUCAUAGCAGUCCUCAUAGUGCUAUGCUUUGAAUUGGUAUCUACGAAGUGUUGGUAACACACCAGUGUUUUGGCUACUGCUGAGCAGCAAUGGCUCAGCAUCACCACUGUCUCCAACAUUCCGCCCUCACCAGUAGGCUGGUGGUGGGCAAGAUCUUGGGAGGGGACAUAGCCAGAAUAGCUGACCCACAUUGACCAAAGGGAUAUUCCGUACCAUAUGAUGUCUUUUCAGCAACAAAACCUAAGCGAAAGAGAAGGAAGGGCUCGGGGAGAGGAGGGAAGCUUUUGUUAUUUUAAUGUCUGUCUUUCAGACCAACCUUGGUGUCUGCUGAAGCCCUGCUUCCUGGAAAAUAGCUGGACAUGGCCUGCUGGAAGGGGAGUAAUAGAGUAGCUUGGAGGGCACCUGGCAUUCAGCCAAAGUCAACCAACCACAAGUAUGAACAAUGUUAAUUCAAGAUUUCAUCUCAUUUGUUACUAUAAUAUGACAUUAUGUGAUAAUUCUGUGCAUGAAGAUAUGCCAAACAGUCAGUCUCUCUUAGUGGCAUUGGACACUGGCUUUUCAGUAAUGAACUGUUGACUUCUUAAAAAAAAUUAUUUUUGCCUAACAUUGCUAGUAAAAUGAAUAAAAUUAUUUGUCUAUUGAAACUGGAGAUUUUGUAAAAGACUUUCAUAUAGUAGUUGGAUUCAGAGCAUUUUCAGAGGUAAAACUCUAAACUAUGAAGAAGAUAUAUUUAAUGAAAAAAAAGUAUUACUUUUGAUAAGCCUUCAAGGGAAUUCAUUUUAGAAUAAAUCCAUGCACACUAUACCUGUUACCUGCCUAAAGUUCUCCUGUCUCUCAAAAACCUGAUGCAUGGUAAUUUUUCUGUAUUGUAUACUACGUAGUGAAAUGUGCAUUCUUCUUAACACAUAAUUAGUUCUCUUGGGUCUUACAAAAAUUGCAGUUCUUAUACACCUGUGGCUAGCACAAAGUAAAUUUGAGAAUUGAAAACCUUAAGAUCAUGUCAAUCUCUACAAGCUGCCCUCUUGUGAUAAGCAUAGACUUGCACAUUGAAUGUUUUAUUGAGCUACUAAAUAAAUAAAUUAAUAAAUCAUCCUGCCCUGGAACUCAAGAUCCAAAGAUGUAUUAUAAGUUAAAACAUGCAAUCUCUUGCAAAACAUUUUAUACAAAUAUGUUCAUGUUUAAGACAUUAGGGCUGAGUUUGGAGCUGGAAACUUGUCUUGGUUUGAGAUUGUUCCCCUGGGAGCCAGGGCACCUAGAGGUGAUUGGGUCCCAGAGCAGUCUCCCCUGAAGGACCAAUCACUGCUCGUUUUGUUCGCUCCUGUGAAAAAUCAGAUAUACACAACCGCUGGAAGUUGUUGGCAGAGUCUAUCUGCUGCUGUGUCUGAGUGAGUGUGUGAGAGACAAUAGCCGAGGGGUGGACGGAGGCUGCUCUCCCCCCACUUGGGGGGGCCCCCGUGCCCCCACAGCUCUGGCCAAGCUAGGGCUGAAGGCAAGAUGUAAGAAUGAGUGUCUGUUGUGAGGGAAGGGAUUCACAGCACCUGAAGGCAAGCGAGAGAGAGAGAGGCGAGCUCCUUGUGAGGAGGCCAGGCCCUCUUUUUGCCCCCCCUUUCCAGCCAGACUGCAGAGCAGGAACUUUUGUUCCCCUCUCACUGUAAGAGUGGAGGGAAGGCUCAGCAUUGGAGCCGAGCCAGGAGAUGGGCCGGUGGAGGCUCAAUGCCAGACAAGAAAAACCCCAGGUGAAAUUGGAGACGGACCGAGGCCGGUUCGGCGGUGCCUACGUUGGAUUUAGACAUGGCUACCGAAAUGGAAACUACAGCAGCUACGGAACCGGUGGGGAGAGAGAGAGAGAAAGAGAGUCACACAGCAGAGAUGGGCAUGGAACCAAGAGAGCACGGAUUCAAACUAUUUUUCUUGGACUUUGUAAGGAAGAUGAGACUUCAGUAAACAGCUGGAGGUUGGUGGGAGGUGGAUCAGAGAAAAACCCUUUUCCCUGAACACUCCCAUGAGAGAAAGACUGCUUACCUAUCAGCCUGAGGGCUUCUCCUGGACUGAAUUAAGGGAGGGGCUUAGAAGGGUGAUAGAAGUGUGUAAUAUUGUAUGUAUAUAGUUGCUUUUAGCGUGUACAAUAGUUAUUUGUGUAGAAUAAAUGUAUAUAUCUUCCCUUUCCCCCUACAGAGGUGUGCUUGCCUGAAAGUUUCUCUUCGGUGUUGAGGUAAAAUUGUGGGAAGGAGAGGGAAGCUUGGAGAUUGGAUUUUUAUUUUUGUGGUGGUCAAACCACCACAAAACUGGAGAACUGAGAACUCUGAUCUCUUGUGAGUUUCACAUGAAGAUAAAUGAGGAGAAAGCUCUUAGUUAUGCUCACCUGUUUACCAUUGAAGAGGGAGGCUUCUAUAUGUUUUCCCAGUUUGAUAAAUAUAAGACACUAAAGUAAUUACAGAAUGCAUACCAGAGGGUUGGCCAAGGUUAUUUAUCUGAAUAGUAGCGAAAAAUUAAGAAUAGUAAUGUUUCAUUGAGUGAAUUAACCUACUGAAUAUAUGACAUUUAAUUACUUCAUAGGGACCUUGUAAUUACUACUCAAGCCAGAAAAGAUGAAACAGUGUCAAGAUCAUCAGAACAAGGUAUGAGUUAUUAAUGAAAAGGUGCUAUCAGUUUUGAGGUUUACUCCCCAGGUUGGAUGAUUUUGUUCUGUCUCAGUGGUUAACUGUUUUUGGCAAGAUCUAAAAAUUACAUGAAAAAUUUCUUCUGUGGGUUCAGCAGCAUCACAGUGGGCUAUGGGAUCCUUCUUUUCUAGAUGACUGUUUCAAAUCAAACCUCAGAGAGGACUGAAUUGCUUUGAUCUAUGUGAAACAAACUUGGUGAUACAUGGCUGUUGACUCAUGAAAGGAAACAUUGGAGCUAUAAAGAUAUUGCUGUUUGCAAUAUCUUUUUGAAAUCUUAGCUAAGUAAUCUAACCCAGCUAUGCUCAAAUGUUGAAUGGUUAUCUUAAUUUUCUCUGAUUUUUAAAUGUUGUUGUUUUAUAUGAAUAAAGAGAGGAUAUCAUGAGCAGUAAAUUGUCACUUUAUUAAGUACUGCAUUUGCUUUUAAAAAUCUACAAUUCUUAUAUACAUUCCUGAAGUCUGCCAUUUCCCCCCUCAUGUAUUAGAGUAUUGGGAUCAAUCCAGUAGAUAAAAAAAAGACCAGAUAUUCUAAAACGUGUGUGUAGGAAGCAUUUUUAAUUGUUCACACUCUUAUAACAAUAUUAAAUCAGUCUUUUGAAAAUUAAGAGUAAAGGCCUAUGAUCUAUUUGCUAGCUGUUAGCACCUUUUUGUUUUCAGAUAUGUGCAGAAAAAGGGGAGGGGGAGAAGGUGGAAAGUGAAAUUUUAUUGGAAUUUGACAGCUUUGUAUUUUCUGGAAUUCCUAUAGAAGCAUAUAAAACAGUAGCAGGUAUUUGAAAAGUUUCCUUGCUGUACUGCAAUGAGCAGAUGAUUUGUUGCAGUGCAGCUAAUAGACUUAUGUUUGCCCAUCUUUAGACUAUCAUCUAAAAAUAAAUUACAUUCCAUGAUUUCUUUGCCCACUUGGUCCCAUUACACUGAAGACUUGUUUUAUGGAGGGAGGAAAAGGAGUGUGUCUGUGUUUAUGCAUGCGGAUAGUCAUCCUAAAAUUUAGCUGGAAAUGGUCUUUAGAUGCAAUGGAGUUAGCUUUGGAGUACUAAAGUAAGUCUUGAAUGUAGCUUGCUCUUAAAUACAUGUCUGAAAUUUCUGUUGUUUUCUUAUCUAAAGUGAAAAACCUACUGACUGCGUAAGUGAUGGAAUUAAAAAACUAUCUGUGCUUGGUGCAUUGUGUGUGCAUCUAUGGGAAGAUAGAUAAAAGAGUGAGAUAAAGACCUCCAUGGAAUUAUGUGAUUAAAAGAUGAUGAAACUGUUGGAGUAAAUCCAACCUAAAAUUAUUUGACUUUCCCUAAAUUGAUUUGGAAAUUACUAAAUGAAAAAAAAUAUAUAAUUUAGGAAUAGAAGGAAAUUAGUAUCUUUAAAUUUCAAUUAAAGAAGAAAGGAAGGAGCAAGAAAACAGGAUAUGAUGUGGUUGAGUGGAAACAGCCAAAAUGUAUAAAGCUGAGGAAUGAGAGUGAACAUAAGACAAUCUGUCUGUGAAUGGGGAGGAGAUGGGAAGAAAAUAGUAGAAAUGCAAGUCCUUAGACAAGGACUAAGUCUAGUGGUACUCAGCACUAAUUUCUACUGGGAGUUGAAAGGAUAUUUCUAAAUGUCUUUUGAAGUAGAUAAGAGUUUUACUCCUCAUUUAUCUGAAGCCAGGGCUAUUUCAGAUCUUUUCCCUGAUAACAGUCCAUUUUGAAUCAGAUUAUGAGACUCAGUGUGUUUUAGUCUAGAUACCUGCUCAAUAUACUCUGUGAUUCUCUAAAGCAUAUUCUGAAAAUGUCUCCUACUAAAUUUUCUACUUCAUUUUGUCAUUAACAUAUAUUUGAAUGACUUGUACAUGAUUGAUCUGUCCUAAUGUAGUCACUUUGAAAUUAGACACCCAAUCUGAGCUACCCUUCCAUAUUUUCUUUAUAUUAAAUAAACCUGCACACAAAAAUGUCAGUUCAAUUAAUCUUGAAAUAUGCUUUUAAAAUAUGUUAAAUGUAUUGCCCUCCAAAUUUGCCUCUUUAAGAGAUUAGAAUUACUAGUUGAAACUUUUGUGUGAAGCUCAAUCAGAAAAACCUUUCCCCUUUUGUUUUAUUAUAAGAAGUUCCUUUCUUUAACUAAAAAUAUAUGUUUGCUUUUCAGGAAUAAGAUUGAUUUGGAGUCUCUAUAUUUUACAUUUAAUUUACCUAUUUCCUCCCCAUCUUUUAUCUUUUAGAUGUAUUCUGCUUAAUGUUUUUGUGUUUCUACUUAUUUCUUACCCUUGUGCCAUAAAAUCACUUAUACUGGGAGAGAAGCUUCAAAUAACAGUUGUAGCAUUUGAGCCUCAAAGGUUCAGUGAAGGCAAAGUAAACCAGAAGUCUAAUAAAAAUUAUGAAACACAGAGUAUGUAGGAUGUUAAAUUAAAAAUCCCUGAGGAAUAAGGUUAAUUUCCAAUAGAAAUUUCAUAAGAAAGAAGUAUUCUUUUCUAAACCCUGUUUCAAGGCAAGUAUAACUUUAAAAUUGAGAGCUAUUGCCUGUGGGUCGCUUGUGGGUAUAUUGAGUAUCUCAAGUUAAGUGUCCUGCUUUAUGGACUAUCUGGAUGAGGCUAAGCUUCCAUGUGUGAGCUGAAGCAACCACUAUCUAAUACAAGUUUCUAAGUUCUUACACUCAUAAGAAAGUCCAAAACUCUGCAUUUUCACUAGAGACCAUUUAUUUAAUUUUCAAUACAUUCCCACUCCCAUCACUUCUCAUUCCUUUUGAUAAAAUAUGUUCAAUGAGUCCUUCCAUUUAGCUGAAAACAUUGUUUUAUGAGCAGUAGUGAAUGUAUCAGGUUUCUUGACUUCAAAGGUUUUCUACUCUACCUAUUUCUCAAGAUCUCACCAAUAUCCACCUCGGUUUUAGUUCAGCUGGGAGGAAUAAAGAAAGCAGGAAACAAUCAUUCAACUAUGUUAUUCUAUCUAUGAUUAUGUUCUACUUUCUUAUUUUCAAUAAUCUCAGUGAGGAAGUGAAAAAAUAUAAGGCAAUGACUGCAUACCACUGACUUAUCUCCUUACUUUUCUUGCAGUAGAUUGCUCAUUUUAAGUUUUGCUUUAAUGAGAUGGUGAGUACCCAGUAGAAGAAUAUGUUAUAUGUCAUUGCUGUGCUUGUUGAAUAGAGAUUCUUCUGAAUGCCCAGCUGUGAAGGCCAACUCUCUAAUUUAAGCUUGAGACACUCAUGUUUUUUCAUUCUAUUAGUCUCUAAACUUUCAGCCAUAAAUUUGAGUGGAAACACAACUGGAGUUUAUAGCUCUUGAAAUAAAAAUCUCAUGCUGUUAAAUUUUUUAGGUAAAGAACCAUUUUCUGCUGCUGAGGGUGUGAAACUUAGACAAGACUGUUGCAAAGUGUUUGUCAUUCUACAGAGAUGAGAAAUUAUUGAUCUGCCCUUCAUAGGAGAGUGGAAACGGUACACACUAGUUUUUAUUCCUUUGAAUCUGCAGUCCCUCAACCUGUGUUGCUGGUACUAGUCUUGUGCUUCAUACUGGAGGGAUUGCAGAAAUCACCAGCUGUGCGGUAACUCACGCUCUUCAUACAUAUAGAGAGAUGCAUCAUGUGAAACUUCUUUGUGCAAGACAAAUUGGCAGAAGAGGUAGUCAUACCACCAGAGUGUAGUCCCAUAACAUCUGAAAGGUACGUGCUGUUUUCGUUCCCCAAAAGAGAAUCUCAAAAAUCAGCUAUAAAGGGGACUAAGAUGGAUAGUGUGACCAUCCUUUCUGUUUGCCCUGGUUGAAUUCAACCUGGAAAACAUUUCUGGAUUUUUCUGUUUACUCUCAGAAGCUACUUCUUUCUUAUGCUUAGGCAGACUUCGAGAAACUGUAUGUUGCACUCUGCAAUCAUUAUACUGUCCAUAACUGCAUGAGCUGCAGCUAAUUAAUCUGUUAUGCAGUGUACACGAAAACAUAGCUAACAAUACAGCAUUUCCUAACAAGCAACAGAGAGCACAGGUCUGUGUAUGGGUUAACAUCAGUCAAACAGUUCAUAUUUUCCCAAAACAUCUACUUCCUACUUGAUAACACAAUCCUCUACCACGUGUUCUAAGUUCAGACAUGAAGGCGAAACUAACUGUAAGGGCAAAGAGGCAAGGAAUUGAUUUAACUUUCAGCCUGUCUUCCUGUUU